Molecule: ribosomal RNA, 497 nt
Filed under: uncultured bacterium
Lineage: Bacteria
Description: partial 16S ribosomal RNA
Rfam family: Bacterial small subunit ribosomal RNA
Source: RNAcentral
GAUGAACGCUGGCGGCGUGCCUAAUACAUGCAAGUCGAGCGAACAGACGAGGAGCUUGCUCCUCUGACGUUAGCGGCGGACGGGUGAGUAACACGUGGAUAACCUACCUAUAAGACUGGGAUAACUUCGGGAAACCGGAGCUAAUACCGGAUAAUAUAUUGAACCGCAUGGUUCAAUAGUGAAAGACGGUUUUGCUGUCACUUAUAGAUGGAUCCGCGCCGCAUUAGCUAGUUGGUAAGGUAACGGCUUACCAAGGCAACGAUGCGUAGCCGACCUGAGAGGGGGAUCGGCCACACUGGAACUGAGACACGGUCCAGACUCCUACGGGAGGCAGCAGUAGGGAAUCUUCCGCAAUGGGCGAAAGCCUGACGGAGCAACGCCGCGUGAGUGAUGAAGGUCUUCGGAUCGUAAAACUCCGUUAUUAGGGAAGAACAAAUGUGUAAGUAACUAUGCACGUCUUGACGGUACCUAAUCAGAAAGCCACGGCUAACUACGUG